UUGGCUCACUGCAAGCUCUGCCUCCCAGGUUCACACUAUUCUCCUGCCUCAGCCUCCCAAGUAGCUGGGACUACAGGCUCCCACUACCUUGCUCGGCUAAUUUUUUUAUAUUUAUUUUGUAUGGUGUGAGGUUUAGGUCAAGAUUUUUUAAGAUUCUUUAUUUUUUCUUCUCUUUCUUUCUUCUUUUUUUUUUUUUUUUUUUUUUUGGCCUAUGGAUAUCCCAACUAUUUUUUUAAAAGAUGGUUUUUCUCCAUUGAAUUUUAUUUGUACCUUUGUCAAAAAUCAGUUGGUAGUUGGUUUUACUUAUGUGAAGCUAUUCCUGGGUUCUGGGUUAUACUUUAAUCCUUAAUAACUUUAGAGAAAAUAAUUAUCUUGUCGUGGCCUUCAAUGUAUAUCUAAGGCCUAUCUGAUUGCCCUGUCACAUGUCCCUUGAUUUUCUUAUUUUUCUUCUUCCUUUCUUCCCCUGCCCCUAUAUCCUCAUAGAAUUAUCUAUGUGGGUUAACCAUCAGUUUAUCAGUUUAUUAAUCAAAUCACAGUAUUUCUUUGUGAAGAUAGUUCUGCAUGAAUUUUUUUUUGAUGAGGGAGAGACAUAGAUGAUUUUAGGUAAACAGAUAUAGAACUUCCUUUAUUGCGGUAAAGGAAUAUUGUCUUUAAUAUUUUCAUUCCCAAUUGUUGUAACUUUUGUUCAGAUACAUUUUCUAUGCAAAUAUUCUCUUUUUCUGCCUUCUCUGUAUAAGUUGUUUACUUUUAUCUAUCUGUGGCUUUCCAUUUUAAGUGUUUUCCAACUUAUUCUUCAUGACCAUGUAUUUUUACCAGUAAAUUUUUUAUUUCCUUUCCAAUUUUAGUGCAACUUUUAUUUCUGAAAUGGCUUUAUUUUCAGUUUUUAACUGAAUUGUACUAUGUCCCCUUUUAGCUUUUUACAUAAAAUAUCACCUUUUAUUUGGUCUUAUGUCUUUUUAUUUUAAUAUAUCUUUAAGAAUCUAUACUCUUCUCGAUUUAUUUAAUACCAUGGAAAGCUGUUUUGUGUUACCUUUGCUUCAGUUUUUAGGAUUAAUGAUUCUGCUGACAUGUAUCUUAGAGGUGGUAUGACAUAGUAGUUAGGGGUGGUAAUAUCAGAUUGCCUGGUCGCUAAUCUCGUCUACUACCUUCUUAGAUAUAUGAUUUACUUAACCUUGUUAUGUUUUUUUAAUCUGUAAAAUAAAUGCAUAAUAGGAAGUUAAUUGUGAGAACAGUACCCCUUGGGAAGAGAUUCCUUUAGUUUAAUAUAGUCCUAAGAAAUGCAUCAGUGAGGGGAGCACCAGAAUUCUUGAAAAAUUCUUUAGUGAAGAUCAGAGAGGACAGUGGAAGACGAAUUAUGGAACUGGAUUUCA
RNAcentral lists this long non-coding RNA (1370 nucleotides) under Homo sapiens (human). Its description in RNAcentral is "HSALNT0052951". Lineage: Eukaryota; Metazoa; Chordata; Mammalia; Primates; Hominidae. The record is from RNAcentral.